RNAcentral lists this ribosomal RNA (253 nucleotides) under uncultured bacterium. RNAcentral describes it as "partial 16S ribosomal RNA". It matches the Rfam family "Bacterial small subunit ribosomal RNA", at positions 524 to 776 of the family's 1533-position model. The record is from RNAcentral.
GACGUAGGGGGCGAGCGUUGUCCGGAUUUAUUGGGCGUAAAGCGUGCGCAGGCGGUUUUGUAAGUCAGAUGUGAAAUCCCCGGGCUUAACCUGGGAAUGGCAUUUGGGACUGCAAGGCUCGAGUGCGGCAGAGGAGACUGGAAUUCCUGGUGUAGCAGUGAAAUGCGUAGAUAUCAGGAGGAACACCGAUGGCGAAGGCAGGUCUCUGGGCUGACACUGACGCUCAUGCGCGAAAGCGUGGGGAGCAAACAGG